UAAUUAAAGCAACCAAUUUAUUAAAGCAAACGUAUUUAUUCAUGUACACAGCUGCCUCUCCCUAAGGUAGGGUUCGGGGGUCAGCAUUGAAUGUGAGGAACACAGGAUUUGAAACGUGUCUUUCUUGUUUUAUAACUUGGUUCCGUUAUAUAAAUCACUCGAUCAAAACAUUACUACAUUAAAAAUGGAAUUUGAAAUGACCCGAAUCUGUCAUCCUGGGCCAGUCACUUAUAUGUAGCUCCAGAGUAAACUCCCUUUCUACAUCAACACCUUAAGAGAGGAAUAGGGGCAAAAUGUGAAGGGGCGCGUUCUCCACGAAACCCUUGUGGUCUCACAUUUCCACACCCGUACACCUCUUCUCGCGGUCCGGGGAACUAGAGUUAAAGUUUACUGGACUAGGAACUUGCUGGAUCACUUCCGGGAGCCUGCUCUAGGAACUUCCGCUAUCCGGUUCUAUCCCCUAAGUUUAGUAGCUCGCACUAGGUCUGGCGCCCUCCAUUAUGGAGUAUGACGCAAAAGCCCAGAGACACCACAAACCCAAAAACCUCAAGGUAGAGGAGACCCCGCAGCGGAGGCGAGUGGCAUGAUGCGCACCGUUCGACCCACGCGCAGCUUUCCUUCAUGGGGAGGCGCGUGUGCCUUGCGCACAAACCCUUGGCUGCUGAUUGCGCAGCGCGCCCUCUCCUAGGGGCCAAACUGCGAUCCCGCGCUGGGGCCGAGUUUGCACUGCGCGUGCGCAAGAGUAUCAUUGAGUGUCGUUUGUGCUCCCGGCGCUGCUCGCCAGGGGGCGAGCUGUACCCUCCCGCCAAUGGUGUUAGCAUCGCUGCGCGUGCGCAGAAACAGCCGCGCCCAGGUUCUAAAGGACGCGUGCGGCCCCGGGGACGAAAAUCAGAUUGACAGCCGUGUUCUCCUAGGAGUGGAGCCACGUGGCGCUGGCGAUCGCGGCGGAAGUAGUGAUGACAAUAACAUGCUACGACAUGCUGGCCUAGCAGAACGGUGCAACAGAAACGAGAAAGUGGCUGGAGUGCUCGCGAGGCCCUGAGGUUCCCUUCCCAGCGCCUCAAGGGUUUCCCAAUGGACUCCUGGCUGUCCUGGACUUCACUGUGUACAUUAGUCUGGCCUCCAACUCAAAUCCACGGUCUCUGCCUCCCCAGUGAUGGACCCAAAGACAUGGGCCACCAUGCCUGGCCAAGAGGACAAAUUUUUCACAGCCUUGUGCAAAUGUGUGUUGUCUAAAACAGAACAAGGCCAACAACAACAACAUCUUAUAGGCUGGGGAUGGUUCACUGGGAAGACCAGUUGCUAUGCAAGCAAGAGGACCUGAGUUCCAAUCCCAGGUACCCCUUUAGAAGCUGUGCGUGGUUCUACAGCUUUGGGACCAGUGACAAGCAAAUCCCUGGAGCACGCUGGUCAGCCAGCUUCGAGAAAACUGCAAGCUUCAAGUUCAAUCUUUGAGACCUGGUCUCACAGGAGUAAUGCGGAGUUAGAACACCCAGCAUUCUGAUGGAGCCACCCUCCCAUGAGCAGCCGUGCAAAAGCACAGGACUGCGAACUUAUGAAGCGCUUGCUCCCGCUGCUGUUUAAUUCCCUUGAAGGUAUCCUGAUGGAUAAGUGCAGCCAACUUGCCCCCCAAGAACUUACACAGCCAUAGGUCUCUGGGCAUAGUGUGUCUGCUAGACCUCCUCAGGAUAGGUUUCUCCUAGUGUUCCUCCUCUCCUUUCUCCAGGGCAAACACACUGUUGUCUCGCUGGGGCCAAUUACUUCUCCCUCUCUCAGGACUCAGCGGGGCUACAAAUCCCAUGCCUGCGGUUCAGCAUCCCAUGGGCACAGUCCUCAGCCCACCGGGUUAGCGGCCCUCACCUCGGGCUCUUUGUCUCUGUGCUCCUAGUCACACCCGGAACCUCGCCAGCUCUCAGAGCACCUAGAGGAGGAACUCCGCAGUUGUAGCUGAGGAGGCUGAGGCUUGUUUACUGUCACCGUGGAAACUCCCAGGCGCCAUUCCAGAUAGGGCCUGGUCCACAAUUCCCUCCUGUGUAGAGCCUGGGGAAGCCCCGCGAUCCCUAGCUCUCUACCCCUGCUCAGCCCACCUCCAAGUACCUGGGAACAGUAGCAAGGACCUGGGUUUUGCUGGAUCAAAGUGAUAAGGUAGGAAAACAGCGCAAGAGGCUGAGGCAGGAGGAUCAGAACUUAUAGGCUGGCUAUCUUAGUCAAUGCAUCUGUGUCUCUUAGAGAAGUAAAUAGAAUCUGGAAAGACUCUAAUGGUAGAGAAUGCACUUAGCAUUCUUAAGGUUUUGAGUUCAAUCAGCACCUGAACAAUAAUACUUAGAAAGAAAUACAUCAAAUAGGGUCUCAGGAUCGCAAAAUCUGGCCUCUGUUGAACUUGGUUUGUAGCCGAGGCUGUCCUUGAACUUGAAGUUGGUUAGAACUUGUAUUAUUUCUGAAAACAUAGCAAGGUGCAGGGUACUCCUCUGAUUCCAGCUCUCUAGGGAGAUAACUAGGGAAGUAAGAAGACCAGGAGUGGGGUUGGGGAUUUAGCUCAGUGGUAGAGCGCUUGCCUAGGAAGCGCAAGGCCCUGGGUUCGGUCCCCAGCUCCGAAAAAAAAAGAACAAAAAAAAAAAAAAAAAGAAGACCAGGAGUACAAAGACACCCUCUGCUUGUUCAUGAGUUUAAGGCCCAGGCUACAGGCAAUCUGAAACCUAAGACCCUGUUUCAAACAGCAAAAGUAAAAAGAAAGAAAGAAAAGAAGAAAAUA
This is a non-coding RNA of Rattus norvegicus (Norway rat), 2752 nucleotides long. The record is from RefSeq and is a predicted model, not a curated record. Lineage: Eukaryota; Metazoa; Chordata; Mammalia; Rodentia; Muridae.